GACGAACGCUGGCGGCGUGCUUAACACAUGCAAGUCGAACGGAAAGGCCCUGCUUUUGUGGGGUGCUCGAGUGGCGAACGGGUGAGUAACACGUGAGUAACCUGCCCUUGACUUUGGGAUAACUUCAGGAAACUGGGGCUAAUACCGGAUAGGAGCUCCUGCUGCAUGGUGGGGGUUGGAAAGUUUCGGCGGUUGGGGAUGGACUCGCGGCUUAUCAGCUUGUUGGUGGGGUAGUGGCUUACCAAGGCUUUGACGGGUAGCCGGCCUGAGAGGGUGACCGGCCACAUUGGGACUGAGAUACGGCCCAGACUCCUACGGGAGGCAGCAGUGGGGAAUAUUGAACAAUGGGCGGAAGCCUGAUGCAGCAACGCCGCGUGCGGGAUGACGGCCUUCGGGUUGUAAACCGCUUUCGCCUGUGACGAAGCGUGAGUGACGGUAAUGGGUAAAGAAGCACCGGCUAACUACGUG
Molecule: ribosomal RNA, 468 nt
Filed under: uncultured bacterium
Lineage: Bacteria
Description: partial 16S ribosomal RNA
Rfam family: Bacterial small subunit ribosomal RNA
Source: RNAcentral